This 3044-nucleotide long non-coding RNA is filed under the name Canis lupus familiaris (dog). RNAcentral's name for it is "lncRNA (ENSCAFG00845016954.1)". Lineage: Eukaryota; Metazoa; Chordata; Mammalia; Carnivora; Canidae. The record is from RNAcentral.
UUUUUUUUUUUUUCUUUUCCUUUCUUUCUCCCUUAAUUCUACGGUCUUCAAAAGUUUGUUGAUGACUAAUUUAGGUAAGCUUUGUAUAACUACCUUUUGGUUAAUCUGUAUCACAUUAGAAAAGUAAGUUUCAUUUUAAUAAAAAUAAUCUCUUUUUCUAAGAUAAAUUCAUAACAAAUGGAAAAGUAAAGUUAUUAGCCAAGAAUAUUACUUAUGAAACCAUUUUAUUUAAACAUUAAUUAAUUUUUUAAGAUGCUAUUUAUUUAUUCCUGAGAGACAGAGAGAGAGAGAGAGACAGAGACACAGGCAGAGGGAGAAGCAGGCUCCAUGCAGGGAGCCCGACGUGGGACUCGAUCCCAGGACUCCAGGAUCACGCCCUGGGCCAAAGGCAGGUGCUAAACCCCUGAGCCACCCAGGUGCCCCUUAAACAUUAAUUUAUACACAUUUGGUAUGCUUAAAAAAACAGCUUUUUUCUAGAACUUUUUAUCUUCUCAAUUUUCUAUGUAGAAACAAUGCACACAUGCAAUCUGGCGAGGACACGUAUGCACACCUACCUACAUACAUACACAAACAUACAUUUUUCAAACAAAAAUAUUACCACAGAUGUAUUACUUUUUAUCAGAGCAAUCUUUUUUUUUUUUUCUCUCUCUCUCUAAUUAAGAGUUUGUUUUGGUGCAGAGUGAGUAACAGAGGAGGUGUCCAAAGAGAAGAGUGGUUAAGCAAGGUGACGUUGAUUUUUGUUGUCUUGCCAUCUGGGAGUGGUGUGCUGGCCUGCAGCGAAGGAGCUAGCCCUCGCUCUUCUUUCCGCCACCUGAUCUCCUGGAGGAGCUCCUCAUCGACCCAACACAAGCCACGGGGCACAGGCAUGCACGUCGGCUUCCCAGCACAGAGCACAGUGAAGAACAGGGGCUAGAUCUGCACAAUCAAAUAGAGGUUAUUUGGCACAGGUGGCUCCUUCAGAUCAUCAGUUAGGAUGUCCGAGGAUGCAGGGCCAGGAAUGACAUUCUUUGGCACAACCACCAAAACCCAUUCCAACCACAGGUCGAUCUAUUAAACAGAAAGAGGCCAUCAAUAUAGGACGUGUUAACCAGGGAAAUGUCUCUAUGUACAGUCUUAACACAUCCAUGCCUCCUUCUGGUACUAUUUUCAAAGAUGUUUUUACUUGAUUUCCUGUACAGUGCACUGAGUAAAAAAAAUGUAGUCCUGAUUUCUCUUUCCCGAACCAAAUUCUGUGGGGUAAUAGCAGCUAUUAUUAACGGAGCUUAGAUAAUUUAAACAUCUCAGGGCUAGGAAGGAGCUGUCCCAGUUUGUCUGUUUGCAGAGCCCAUAAUCUUAAUGACCACCCUCACUACUAGAAAAUAUAACUAGGUCUGAUAUAUAGAUUCAUAGAGCAUAUAUGCUGUCUGUCUACCAUCUAAAUACAUGUGGCAUGUGUGAUAUUUGUUGUAUAGAACACACAUGCUGAAUAUGUUCUCUUCAGCUUGGUGUUUGUUCCAUUUUUGCUGGAGAAAAAUGAGACCUUGACUUCAUUUUCCCGGAGUGAAAGCCCCUGCCCCACCUUUUCUACAACUAUGAGAUGCUACAACCUCUUCAAAAUGCACAAGAUGCAGUCAUCCAAAAUGUAAAACAACGAUGUCAUUUGCGAAUGAAUAUUUGCAAACCCGAUGUCACAACUAAAGCCUGUCUCUAAGCAAGCCGCCGCUCUAUGUUAGCUAUGAUAGUCGUCCACAAUUUGACAUCCGUGAGCAGCCUGCAGUCCUCUGGAAGUAAGGCCCCCUGGAUAGUUUGCCUUCAAAUCAAGUGAACGGUCCUCAGGGUUAAAAUGACCCAACAGUCAUGUCAGCCAAGCAUAAUAAGGUGGAGGAGAAUACAGUCCAAGACAAGCUCCGAACAGCUUCUUGGUGUUUCUGUUCAGUUUGACACAGUUGAUGGUUAGAUUUUAAUUAUAUUUUAUCGUCCUGUAGUUGAUGGGACUUAGUCAUUUCAGGCGAAGCCAGAGAGAGUCUAACAUCAUUCUAACCUUACAGUUCCCAGGUACAGCUGUGUGUGCAUGGGUGUGCGUUAGCCCCUGGUGCAUGGCCUCUGAGUGCAGGGUGAGCACAGACAAAGGUCAUCAAGAGACCUACGUCUUCAUAUGCUGAAAAAAAAGGAAUCUCUGAAUUUUGUAGCAUAUUGUAGAUUCAUUCACACAGUUUUAGAAAUGAUGGACAACAUCCUCAACACACCACACACGCACACACACACACACACACACACACACACAGAUUUGCUGUGUGAAUUUAAGCAUAUCCUCUCAUAUUGAAACACACUAGAUAGAUAAUUGAAGUCACCAAAUAAAAAUGUCAAUGAAUUGAUACACAACAUCUUACCAACUAUCCACCAGGCUUUUAUUAGAGUUUUGGACACAUAUAUUCAGGGCAUAAAUGCCAUAGAGCGAACUCAGUGGUUUAGAAGAUUCAUCAAAAUAAAGGUAACAGAAAUUAUUUCUUUUAGCCUUAAGAAUAUAGAGCUAUGAAGUUUAAUAAUGAUUUUAUAGUGUUAAAAAAAACUCACAUCUGUUUUGAAACAUGACAGCCGUAGAUAUUAAUUGCCUUAGGCACUUCAAAAAACAUCUUUUCCCACGUGCUUAUUAUUAUGUUUUUAUCCUCCCAUAUAUAGUUCAGCUUAUUAAGUAACACUUUUUAAAUUAUACAGAAUCAAAAUCCCUUCGAUUCAGACAGCUCUCAUCAUAAAAACCUGACUGUAGCACUCCAAGUGGGUUAGCCUCUGACCGCAAGGAAUGCCCUACUUAUAGCUAAACUUAAUGAACUGUCUCCUUCCCUAGGUAACCAAUCCAAAGACGUGAUAUGCUGUAGCAGUAAUCAGGAUCUUCUAUUCCCCUGGGAAAUAGAUUUUGCCCUUGUGAUGGUCGAUUUUCUUUUUUUUUUUUUUUUUUUUAUUUGGUCAAACAGCAGUCCAGAUAUUGUUGUGAAGGUGUUUUUUAGAUGUGAUUUACUAUUUGCAUCAGUAGACGUUGGGUAAAGCAGAUUACCUUCCAAAAUGUG